RNAcentral lists this transfer RNA (72 nucleotides) under Joturus pichardi (bobo mullet). Its description in RNAcentral is "tRNA-Trp". It matches the Rfam family "tRNA". From Rfam's summary of the family: Transfer RNA (tRNA) molecules are approximately 80 nucleotides in length. Their secondary structure includes four short double-helical elements and three loops (D, anti-codon, and T loops). Further hydrogen bonds mediate the characteristic L-shaped molecular structure. tRNAs have two regions of fundamental functional importance: the anti-codon, which is responsible for specific mRNA codon recognition, and the 3' end, to which the tRNAs corresponding amino acid is attached (by aminoacyl-tRNA synthetases). tRNAs cope with the degeneracy of the genetic code in two manners: having more than one tRNA (with a specific anti-codon) for a particular amino acid; and 'wobble' base-pairing, i.e. permitting non-standard base-pairing at the 3rd anti-codon position. Lineage: Eukaryota; Metazoa; Chordata; Actinopteri; Mugiliformes; Mugilidae. The record is from RNAcentral.
AGGGACUUAGGAUAGUAUUCAGACCAAGGACCUUCAAAGCCCUAGACGGGAGUGAAAGUCUCCCAGUCCCUG